This 2110-nucleotide long non-coding RNA is filed under the name Homo sapiens (human). RNAcentral describes it as "HSALNT0202740". Lineage: Eukaryota; Metazoa; Chordata; Mammalia; Primates; Hominidae. The record is from RNAcentral.
GGGAAAGGCAACAAAAUAAAUGAGACUAAUAGAUUAUAACCUACUGAUUACAAUAAGUAUUCAUGAGUCCACAUUGAUAGAAAGACAUACUGUUUUCAUGUGGACCUUUAUUUUCUACAAUAUCCUCAUCUAUAAUAACGGAAUUAGUAAUGUUUAUCUUGCAAUAUUGUUGUGAGGAUUCAUUUGGGAGAGGGUUUGAAAGAACUAUUUAAAACACAUAAAAAGUGCCUAGAAAUGUUAAUUGACUUCCCUGCCUUGUUCUCUUAGUACACAGUCAUUUUCCUGGAAAACCAGACUAUCACAAUUUUGAAGCUGAAUCCCUGGUAGAGUUUUGAUUUAGUUUUAGAAAUAUGGUGUUAAUCACUUUUUAGCAGCCUCCUUCAAAAUGAAACCUUCUACCCAUUGACUUGUCAGUAGUAUUUAACCUAGAAUAGUCAUUAGGAAUUCAUCAUCAUUUCCCUAUGCAUUCUGCCUUCAGCUUCUUCCCUCCAGGUAAAUUGCAGACGUGAUGCUCAGAAUUAAACUGUCAGGAUGCUGCCAUUCUGCUGCAUGCUCCGGACAGCUGGCCGUUAGGGAGCACUGCAGGCUUGGAAGAGGUGACUUGUCUCCCUGUGUACAGCCCUCUGGGUAGAGCAGCUGUCAUCUAAAUACAGAUGCUGAUCUCCAAAAGAAGUUCCAGUUUGGUUACAGAGAGUUACAGCAUAGUGAAACUUCAAGAACUAGGUUUUUCUGGACCAUCCCAGUGCGCAUGAAUCAGGAGGCAGAUUACAGAAAUCAUUAAGUCCAGUGACAAUGAAAAACAAUCAAUUCCAGUCUCAUGCACAUCAUGGAUGAAUUCCCCAGACAUAAUGCUGAGCAAGAAGAAGGAGAUGCAAAAGACACAGCUGGAUCCAUGUUGACAGAAUCGCUGGAAGAUUGAGGAGUGCGAAGAAGUUUAAAACUGUUUCUGUAUCCUUUCUCAUUGUUAUAUCUUCCAUGGAUAUUCCAUCCCUUAUUAUAUCCUAAGUCUUGACAUAAAUACUUAGAUAUCUGCUUCCUUUUUGUUGUUGUUGUUGUGGUUGUUUGAGAUGGGGUCUCACUCUUUUGCCCAGGGUGAAGUGCAGUGGUGCAAUCUCACUGAGCCUCAACCUCCUGAUCUCAAGUGUUCUCCCACCUUAGCCUCCCAAGUAGCUGGGACUACAGAUGGAUGCCACCAUACCCAGCUAAUUUUUGUAUAUUUUAUAGAGACAGGAUUUUGCCAUGUUGCCCAGGCUGGUCUCGAACUUCUGGGCUCAAGAGAGUCACCCGCCUUGGCCUUCCAAAGUGCUGAGAUUACAAGUGUGAGCCACCAUGUCCAGCCUUCUGCUUCCUUUUGAAGCAAGGUUUUUAAGCUACCCCUUGAAAACUUUUCUCCAACCUUAUCACUAUUUAUGUUUGACCUAUUGCUAAUGGAAAUAUUUCACCCAAUGUCCAGGAAAAAUGUACACUUUACUCACCUUACUCACAUAAUAACUCAAAUUAUGAAAAUAUCUACAGUCCUAAGUGUAUCAACACUAGAAAUAAUUGCAACUAGGUCAUUGGAACUUGAAAUAGAUAAGCAUUACUAUUAGCAGAAGCCCAGAGAGCGGAGGCCAAGAGUUAGGUUUUCAUACAAACUAAAGGCUUCUAAAAGCUUAACACAGGAAAGUGUUGAUCAACUCUUUGCAUCCAGUGACAUAGGUAAGUUUUAUUCAUCUAGGAAGUGAACACUGAAGCUGUGAAGGAAGAAAUUCCCUCUGUAUAGACAACUUUCUCAUCACCACUAAGCGAUAAAGCUGUUGAUAAAAGUCAAUGCUGUGUGUUCACAUUAUCUCUUUCUACAACCUUAAGCCCUUCUCAGCAUAUCAUCAAGAGCAGGAAAAUGAAAACCUGAAAACAACUUGAAGAAAACGGAAGCACCUCAUUUCUCAUUAUGGAGUUUAAUCAACUGAAAAGUUUUCCCUGAGUUUGGUACAUACUCAUUUGGCAGCAAAACCUGAGCUGAUAUAAGGCUGUUUAAAGACUUUAUUUAUCCGACUUAGUAUGAAUAUUCAUUCCUUUCUCUGCAGAAGUGACAAUGUGGUGAUUACAGGGCACAGACCUGUUGGUGAUG